RNAcentral lists this long non-coding RNA (697 nucleotides) under Phascolarctos cinereus (koala). Its description in RNAcentral is "lncRNA (ENSPCIG00000033311.1)". Lineage: Eukaryota; Metazoa; Chordata; Mammalia; Diprotodontia; Phascolarctidae. The record is from RNAcentral.
AGGGAGGGAGGGAAGGAGGUGGUGGAGGCACUGGAGGGGGAGAAGCUUACAGAGAUGACCAGGAUAGUGGUGUUUCAGUUGGGGGCAGGGUGGAGUUUGUAGGCCUGAGAGGAUUUAAGGUGGAAGAUGGGAUCAUUGCAGUGGAGAAGGCAUUCCAUGUGAUGAAGGACAGGGGUUAUGGAGGAGAGGCAGUCUGGGUCCCUGAGUCCUGGCCCUGGGUGUGAUUGGAGGAAAGGGCCCAACUAUCCUCAGGGCCUCAAGGGCUGGACAUGGUGGUGCUCUGGGGAAUAGGAAAACCUUCCUAGAGUGUGCUGGCCAGAAGGAGGAAGUCUUUGAACUGAGACUGCUCUGCCUUCCCUAGAGCUCAGAUCUCUGAUUUCUUCCCUUAGAGCAGGGAUAGCUCUGCCUCACCUUGGAGCUGAGAUCACUCCAUCUUCCCAGAAGCUGAGAUCUCUCUGCCUUGUCUUGGAGCUGAAAUCUCUCCCUUCCCUUGUGACUGAGAUUGUUCUUCCUUCUUUUAGAGCUGAGAUCUCCCUGAAUUCCCUGAAGUUGACAUCACUCUGCCUUCUGGAAGACAGCUCUAUGCGUUUAAGUCCCAGGAAACCACUUCAAAAACCACUGAUGCAGGCAGCAAAGUGAGCCACUGUGGGAGAGUGAGAGAGCCAUGCUGUGCAGAGCUGCUUGGAGAGACUUUGGA